This is an RNA transcript of Drosophila pseudoobscura, 578 nucleotides long. RefSeq lists it as uncharacterized. NCBI's taxonomy places the organism in Eukaryota, Metazoa, Arthropoda, Insecta, Diptera, Drosophilidae. The transcript is spliced from 3 exons. The record is from RefSeq and is a predicted model, not a curated record.
AGCUAAGAAAAACUAUUCCUAGUCAAUACGGCAUGAGAACCCAAUUCUUGGCCUGCUUGAUCUGCCCAUUCCUUACAAUAUACCAAAAUAUACCCAUCAUGUGUUUUAGAGCCCCCUUUGGAAUUCUGAAGCCGAAAUUACCAACCCUUCUCUGGACAGACAUUUUUUGUUGUGGGGAUGUGCAUUUUACCGAAUAUUCGAACAUCAAUUUGCAAAGUACCCAGCUAGCACAAUAGCAGCAUCGAGUAUAGCCGCUUCAAUGAGUGGGCUAAAAUGGCAUCUACGCACAGGCCAUAAUCUUCCCUUUUUAUUAGGUCUACUUUCGGACUUAACCAGCAUCGAACAAGUUCAACUGCAAGAGUGUAUGUUGCAUAUGGAGACCAUUUUUGACAUUGAACCUCCUAACUCUGCAAAAAUGUACUGCCAGAGACGUUAUCAGACUCAUCCAAACCAGCAAUAUCAUCAGCAGCGCCCGCAACGCAUGAGGCAAAUGCCAAUACCCUCCUUAACAUUUACUACUGCUGACGCCAACGCUGAUCAAAAUUGCUUUAAGGCUACCCUACCCUAUCGGACGCAAA